This 253-nucleotide ribosomal RNA is filed under the name uncultured prokaryote. RNAcentral describes it as "partial 16S ribosomal RNA". It matches the Rfam family "Bacterial small subunit ribosomal RNA", at positions 524 to 776 of the family's 1533-position model. The record is from RNAcentral.
AACGUAGGAUCCGAGCGUUAUCCGAAUUCACUGGGCGUAAAGCGCGAGUAGGCGGCCGGAUAAGUUGGAUGUAAAAUCUCCCGGCUCAACUGGGAGAGGACGUACAAGACUGUUUGGCUAGAGGGCGAUAGAGGGAAGCGGAAUUCCCGGUGUAGUGGUGAAAUGCGUAGAUAUCGGGAGGAACACCAGAGGCGAAGGCGGCUUCCUGGGUCGUACCUGACGCUGAGAUGCGAAAGCUAGGGGAGCAAACGGG